Long non-coding RNA from Mangifera indica (mango), 888 nucleotides. RefSeq lists it as uncharacterized. NCBI's taxonomy places the organism in Eukaryota, Viridiplantae, Streptophyta, Magnoliopsida, Sapindales, Anacardiaceae. The transcript is spliced from 2 exons. The record is from RefSeq and is a predicted model, not a curated record.
AUUUCCUUCUCUUCUCAGGGUUUCUUGUUAAUAAAUGGUCAAAUUUUCAGAUUUUUUUGUGUGCUUCUCUUGUUUAUAAAAUUUUUGGUAGAUCAGUACAUAUGAUGCUCUAAUUCAUUCCUAUUGUUGCUUUAAAAUCAUUGAAAUGAAUUUUAAAUCUCAGCUUUCUGCUGUCUUUAUCUUCUGCGUUUGGACGGACUUAGAUUUAUAUUAGUAGAUUUUUGUGGUGUGUAGUUGUGAGGGUUAGUGGCUGUUGAAACCUUUCUUUCUUUUUUUCAUUGAGCUGAGGUAAGGGGUUGGGGUUCAGCUUUAAAGUGGAUGCUGGGCUCUUGUUGUAAACGGCGUUAAAUUUUUUAUGGUUAAUGGCUGUUUGUAAGACUGAAUACGUUGGAGUUGUUUGUUUUUGUAUGAGAGGCUCUCUUGUGUUCUUAAUUUUUUUCAGUGUAGAUGUCAGUAGUAGUUAGGUAUAAGCAACUGAUUUUGUAAAGAUUGGAGGAUUACAUGUUUUAGAAUUACAGGAAGAAGACAUGGGAUCAACUGGUUUUAUGAGACUGUGAAGAGAACUCUGUUGACAGGUGAAUCAGUUUGAAUCUAUGGUUACACUAAAAGCUAAAGCUGUUCACAGGAACAUUAUUCGGGAUUUGGUGAAGGAGCUUAAAUGUGGAUUUCUGAGGAAUUUUAUUAGGAGAAAUGUGAGUAGGGGAAAAAUGCUAUACUUAAGGGUGGAGUGUGGAGAAAUCAUGUGCAACGUGGUUUGCUAUUUGGGGGUUCCAUCAAUCAUUGAUAUGUAUCAGUUUUUUUUGUUUCCAAUAGUGCAAACAAAUACGCUUGCUCAUUUGUGCUGUUAUCCACACUUCUUAUGGAUUAUAUGAUUGUCUGUUGCAUGUA